This 240-nucleotide ribosomal RNA is filed under the name uncultured bacterium. Its description in RNAcentral is "partial 16S ribosomal RNA". It matches the Rfam family "Bacterial small subunit ribosomal RNA", at positions 94 to 334 of the family's 1533-position model. The record is from RNAcentral.
AGCGGCGGACGGGUGAGUAACGCGUGGGUAACCUGCCUCAUACAGGGGGAUAAUAGUUGGAAACGGCUGCUAAUACCGCAUAAGCGCACAGUACCGCAUGGUACCGUGUGAAAAACUCCGGUGGUAUGAGAUGGACCCGCGUCUGAUUAGGUAGUUGGUGGGGUAACGGCCUACCAAGCCGACGAUCAGUAGCCGACCUGAGAGGGUGACCGGCCACAUUGGGACUGAGACAUGGCCCAA